This 29-nucleotide non-coding RNA is filed under the name Mus musculus (house mouse). Lineage: Eukaryota; Metazoa; Chordata; Mammalia; Rodentia; Muridae. The record is from RNAcentral.
UCGGGCCUAUUUGUAGGAUGUGGGACACU